UUCAAAUGAUCGUAACUUUGGCCU
RNAcentral lists this microRNA (24 nucleotides) under Solanum tuberosum (potato). Its description in RNAcentral is "stu-miR7990a". The record is from miRBase by way of RNAcentral. Lineage: Eukaryota; Viridiplantae; Streptophyta; Magnoliopsida; Solanales; Solanaceae.